Musa acuminata AAA Group (dessert banana) is the source of this 1517-nucleotide long non-coding RNA. RefSeq lists it as uncharacterized. The record is from RefSeq and is a predicted model, not a curated record. The transcript has 2 exons. NCBI's taxonomy places the organism in Eukaryota, Viridiplantae, Streptophyta, Magnoliopsida, Zingiberales, Musaceae.
ACGUGAGCCUUUUGACUUAAGCGGCCAAGGGACAGCAUUUUUCGUUAGCAAUCAAUGUCAUCUGGCCUCAAACAAGAAUGGAUUGUGAGGACGAGAACGAAGCGAAGGAUGGGCAAAAGGCCACGUGAAGUUCGACAUUAACGUGUCUUUCCCAGGGCACAAAUCGUGGUGGACAGAGCGGGGAAGAGAGUUGGGUUUCGCAUCCUCGGCGGGCCAGGAGGGACAGGAUCUCUGCGUCCGCCGAUCUCGACUUCCACCCGCAUUAAAAGCUGGAAUAUUGCCACCCCGAGGCAGCACCGCAGAAGCCCAAAAGCUACAUCCCCCUAACCCCAGUUGUUCGAUCAAGUGCCAAGCACCUUGUGCCUUUUGAAAGCUUCACCUCACAUCCCACUUGCAAACCGAGCAGCAGCAGCAGCGGCGGCUACUUGACCUCACCCUGUCUCGAGUCGAACUGAUGGAACGGUGCACACUCUGUUUCCUUCGGGUCCUCGCUUGACCUUUAGCUUCAAAGAGCAUGAAAAGAUACAAGAUACACUUCGAGGCAAACACUGCAGCACCUCAAAAUAAUAAAGAAUGCCCACAGUCGCAGGCUUUACAGCUACGGUAAUUGUGAGAGAAGACAGCAUUAAAAGAUGAAUCAAGUAAGGUUUCAGCGGAACAUUCAUGUAUCCAAAGAGAAAAAGAACUAACGGCGAGCUACAUUGACCAGCUCAAGGCAGCUGUGUUUGCGCUGUGUCUGUGUAAUUGCCUUGAAAUGAGAUUUGCUUGUCGAAGCCGAUAGAAGCCGAGAACUGCUUUCGUUCUCGAGGCCAAACAUCCAUGUAUACCUAUUCCUACCCCUCUCCCUCUUUUCGAACAUUAUUGCCAUCCCUCGAAGUAUUCCAAACCAAAGUAACAUAAACGUCUCCUCUAUCCAUAUCCAUCAGACAAUAGAUGUGACAUCUCAUUCGCCCAUGUGACGCACUAAAAUUGUGAAAGCGAGAGCUGAAACGAAGGGUAGACAAAAGGAGCAUCUCCACCGUCCUCUUCCGUCGAUAAAACAAGGCAACUCCUUCGUCACAGUCUUUUGUGCCGUUUGCGUUCUGUGAGGUGGAGAUGGCCGUGGCCGUUGGAGUGGUGGCAGCUCUAGGAGACGCCGGAGUGGUGCUGGGUGGAGGGAAGAGGAGGUUUAAGAGCCUCUACUUGAGGCUCAGAGCGGAGAUAAGGAGGCAGCUGGCGAAAGGAAGGGAAAGCAAGCAGCGAUUCAGCUUCCACUACGACCCUUUUAGCUAUGCACUCAACUUUGAUGAUGGCUGUCCCGGCUUUCUGUCUCUGUAGCUUCUGUUUUCUCUGUUGUUUUAGGAAGGGUUCGUUUGGCCUGUCCCUUUGAGGGAUGUAUAGGGGGAAUGUUUUGCUGUGAUGAUGGUGGGUAGGUUGCCUACUUUUUGAAGGCCUUUGACAUGGAAGUAGGAAUCCAUGGCGGCUCAUGAAUGUUGAUGUUUUCACUAGUGAUGAGACUUACUUUCUGGUAGUUUUCA